RNAcentral lists this ribosomal RNA (253 nucleotides) under uncultured bacterium. RNAcentral describes it as "partial 16S ribosomal RNA". It matches the Rfam family "Bacterial small subunit ribosomal RNA", at positions 524 to 776 of the family's 1533-position model. The record is from RNAcentral.
UACGGAGGGUGCAAGCGUUAUCCGGAUUUACUGGGUUUAAAGGGUGUGUAGGCGGGCUAUUAAGUCAGUGGUGAAAUCUCCGGGCUCAACCCGGAAACUGCCAUUGAUACUAUUAGUCUUGAAUUUUGUUGAGGUAGGCGGAAUAAGUCAUGUAGCGGUGAAAUGCAUAGAUAUGACUUAGAACACCAAUUGCGAAGGCAGCUUGCUAAACAAAUAUUGACGCUGAGGCACGAAAGCGUAGGGAUCAAACAGG